This 495-nucleotide ribosomal RNA is filed under the name uncultured bacterium. RNAcentral's name for it is "partial 16S ribosomal RNA". It matches the Rfam family "Bacterial small subunit ribosomal RNA", at positions 29 to 507 of the family's 1533-position model. The record is from RNAcentral.
AUGAACGCUGGCGGCGUGCCUAAUACAUGCAAGUCGAGCGAACAGACGAGGAGCUUGCUCCUCUGACGUUAGCGGCGGACGGGUGAGUAACACGUGAUAACCUACCUAUAAGACUGGGAUAACUUCGGGAAACCGGAGCUAAUACCGGAUAAUAUAUUGAACCGCAUGGUUCAAUAGUGAAAGACGGUUUUGCUGUCACUUAUAGAUGGGUCCGCGCCGCAUUAGCUAGUUGGUAAGGUAACGGCUUACCAAGGCGACGAUGCGUAGCCGACCUGAGAGGGUGAUCGGCCACACUGGAACUGAGACACGGUCCAGACUCCUACGGGAGGCAGCAGUAGGGAAUCUUCCGCAAUGGGCGAAAGCUUGACGGAGCAACGCCGCGUGAGUGAUGAAGGUCUUCGGAUCGUAAAACUCUGUUAUUAGGGAAGAACAAAUGUGUAAGUAACUAUGCACGUCUUGACGGUACCUAAUCAGAAAGCCACGGCUAACUACGUG